UACGAGGUACGUAAACUGAAUGCAGAGAAACGACCUCGAAUGAAAGGAAGAUUCGUUAAGAGAGCUUCACUUGCUCUAUCUGCUGCAAGUUCACCAUUGGGUGUGAAUUACUGAAUAUCCUAGCUAUUUGGCUAUAUCUCACUUUACCUUUUAAAUUGAAUGUUUUUGGUUGACUUUUUUCUUCUGCAACGACAGAAGUUUUUUUGCACUUAAUUGUGCUUUGUGGGCUUGAUAUGUACAUAGGGAACCAAAUAAUGUGACUUGUAUGAAUAGAGCUGAUGUAUAUAUUAUCUGGUAAUAAGAAUGUGACAAGGCACUUCCAUUGUUAAAAUUAUUUAGUUUAACCAUGUUUAUCUCUCAAAGCCGAAACUGGACGAACAAAUUGUCUCAAAUCAUAACUGAGCCGAUUUUCUUAAAAUAUGUAACUCACCACCACAUUUACACUUAUAUGUAACAAAGGGAAUGAGUUGCCUGACAAGCUACAUUAAGCACAAUGAACCAAGAUAUAUGUCGUCCCUACCAACAUAUACAUGUAACGUUUUUUAUGUUGAGUCCAGUUCCAUUUUAAUCUCUAGCUAAGAUUAAAUUGACAACUAACUACCACACAAGCGUGUAUUGCAGCAAACAACCUACCUAUCAGCGCCUAUACAAAAUAUCCUCAUACAUCAUUAUCGAGGAGCAAUUAUUGAUUUAAAUCUGUGGUACAUAAGAAAUGUUACUUUUGGUGGCGCUUAACAUUUUGGUAAGAUGGGUUACUUCAAAGAUUUUUUUUUUUUGGAAAAGCUAACGUAUGAUUAUCUAAAGUUACAGGUUAGGAAAGUAUGAGUUAUACAUCGAAGAAACUUUCAAAGAUAAGAGAAAUCUUUUCGUUUUUGUUUCUAUUUCUAUAAAAUGAUGAAAAAGGUUCAUUUCAUAAAAAGACAGGACACAACUAAAAGAUGUAGAAGUCACAUCGUCGGAUGUUGUUGUGUAGCUAAGAGUUGGGUCCGCAUGAAGGAGCCUAGAGAGGCAUUGGCUUUGUAACUUAUAUCACAUUCAACCUUCGAUUUGCCGCUUUUCUGUUACAGUUACUGGAUAGUAGAUAAAAUGUGUACGUAUUAUGAAAAGUAUUAUUGGACAAUAUAAUAUUUAUAAAGAACUAUUUGGCAAAAAUUUUAAUAUUAAAAGCAUCUUCAAAUUAUCAUACUUAGGUGUUAUUAUUCUUCAAAAACACUAAUGUAAAACCUAAUUAAUCUUAAUUGUGACUUAAAGCUCGUUAUAUCAAUAAAGGUUUGAAUUCUGUUCGGUAUAAUAAUCUUAUUCUAGGUCAAAAUAAGAAUUUUUUUUUCUUGAACGUUAUAACUAUGGAUCUAAAAGCUUGUAAAUUAAUUUAAUUACAGUCAUAAAUAAGAAACCCUAAUAUGGGUUUUCCUCAAUCGAAUAUCUUUAUAGUUUUCUUGCUUUUUUGAAGUACUACUUCUCGGUUAUCCAGUUAUCCUCAAGAAAAGGCUUCUUAAUUAAUUUAUUUAUCCGAGAAAGAAAAGGCUUCUUAAUUAAUUAAGAAGUGUCUUGCUAAAGAAUGUUUAAAGGAGGUAUAGUAAAAAUCAUAUGCUGUAACAAGAAAUCAGCAAGAUAAGAGAAAUUUAUAAAAAAUAUAUAUAUAUCAAAUUUGUUAUAGAUAUGAUCAAAAGUCAUGAAUCUAUUCUACCACCAAAAAUGUACUCACAGAAACAUGAAAUUAAUCAAAUAUCAAAGUAUACGGUAUACCAAUGACUCUCAAUGUGGACAUUCUUAAACAAAACCACCAAAACUUGCAAGUUGAUCAAUAUCUCGAAUACAAACACAAGAAAGAAUCAUAUGAUAUUCUCACUUUACCUUUUAAAUUGAAUGUUUUUGGUUGACUUUUUUCUUCUGCAACGACAGAAGUUUUUUUGCACUUAAUUGUGCUUUGUGGGCUUGAUAUGUACAUAGGGAACCAAAUAAUGUGACUUGUAUGAAUAGAGCUGAUGUAUAUAUUAUCUGGUAAUAAGAAUGUGACAAGGCACUUCCAUUGUUAAAAUUAUUUAGUUUAACCAUGUUUAUCUCU
Molecule: long non-coding RNA, 2065 nt
Filed under: Brassica napus (rape)
Lineage: Eukaryota; Viridiplantae; Streptophyta; Magnoliopsida; Brassicales; Brassicaceae
Description: long non-coding RNA (BNAP_LNC017343)
Source: RNAcentral